ACGAACGCUGGCGGCACGCCUAACACAUGCAAGUCGAACGGAGUUAGCGAGAAGUUACUUGAGCUAACUAGUGGCGGACGGGUGAGUAACACGUGAGUAACCUGCCUUCAGUGGGGAAUAACGGCUGGAAACGGUCGCUAAUACCGCAUAAUGUCUUGGAGUCGCAUGACUUUGAGACCAAAGAUUUAUCGCUGAAAGAUGGACUCGCGCCCGAUUAGCUAGUUGGUGAGGUAAUGGCUCACCAAGGCGACGAUCGGUAGCCGGACUGAGAGGUUGAACGGCCACAUUGGGACUGAGACACGGCCCAGACUCCUACGGGAGGCAGCAGUGGGGGAUAUUGCACAAUGGGGGAAACCCUGAUGCAGCGCCGCCCGCGUGAGUGAAGAAGUAUUUCGGUAUGUAAAGCUCUAUCAGCAGGGAAGAUAAUGACAGUACCUGACUAAGAAGCCCCGGCUAACUACGUGCCAGCAGCAGC
RNAcentral lists this ribosomal RNA (475 nucleotides) under uncultured bacterium. RNAcentral's name for it is "bacterial SSU rRNA". It matches the Rfam family "Bacterial small subunit ribosomal RNA", at positions 29 to 518 of the family's 1533-position model. The record is from RNAcentral.